GCGUCCAUAGCUCAGCCGGAUAGAGCAUCGGCCUUCUAAGCCGAGGGUCGUAGGUUCGAGUCCUACUGGACGUG
This 74-nucleotide transfer RNA is filed under the name Spirochaeta sp. LUC14_002_19_P3. It matches the Rfam family "tRNA". From Rfam's summary of the family: Transfer RNA (tRNA) molecules are approximately 80 nucleotides in length. Lineage: Bacteria; Pseudomonadati; Spirochaetota; Spirochaetia; Spirochaetales; Spirochaetaceae. The record is from Rfam by way of RNAcentral.